This 631-nucleotide ribosomal RNA is filed under the name uncultured picoeukaryote. RNAcentral's name for it is "partial 16S ribosomal RNA". It matches the Rfam family "Bacterial small subunit ribosomal RNA", at positions 886 to 1482 of the family's 1533-position model. The record is from RNAcentral.
CCGCAAGGCUAAAACCCAAAGGAAUUGACGGGGGCUUACACAAGCGGUGGAGCAUGUGGUUUAAUUCGAAACAACGCGCAAAACCUUACCAAUCCUUGACAUAUGAAAAACCAGGGUGUUUACCCGCUCUGUCUCUUUUAUACAGGUGCUGCAUGGCUGUCGUCAGUUCGUGGUGUGUGCUGUUGGGUUAAGUCCCAGAACGAACGCAACCCUCCUUUGAAAUGAAGGUUUACCUUUUUCAGAGACUGCCAAGGAUAUCUUGGAGGAAGGUGAGGAUGACGUCAAGUCCGCAUGGCCCUUAUGGGUUGGGCUACACACGUGCUACAAUGGGAAUGACAAAAGGAGGCAACAUGGCAACAUUGAGCAAAUCCCAAAAAGUUUCCUUAGUUCGGAUUGUUCUCUGCAACUCGAGAACAUGAAGUUGGAAUCGCUAGUAAUCGUAGAUCAGCACGCUACGGUGAAUUUGUAUCUAAGCCUUGUACACACCGCCCGUCACACUCUGAAAAUUUUCAUGCCUAGAAGCAAAAGAAGUUCACCAAGAACACACAGCGCAAUUAAAAAAAAACAUCUUCCCUUUUUUUUCUGUGUCUUUGUUGGAACCUUUUCUAGAGUUAGGGAGGUCAUUGGAGUG